AGCUAACGCGUUAAGUAGACCGCCUGGGGAGUACGGUCGCAAGAUUAAAACUCAAAUGAAUUGACGGGGGCCCGCACAAGCGGUGGAGCAUGUGGUUUAAUUCGAUGCAACGCGAAGAACCUUACCUACUCUUGACAUCCAGAGAACUUUCCAGAGAUGGAUUGGUGCCUUCGGGAACUCUGAGACAGGUGCUGCAUGGCUGUCGUCAGCUCGUGUCGUGAGA
Molecule: ribosomal RNA, 223 nt
Filed under: Vibrio sp. s4o4
Lineage: Bacteria; Pseudomonadati; Pseudomonadota; Gammaproteobacteria; Vibrionales; Vibrionaceae
Description: partial 16S ribosomal RNA
Rfam family: Bacterial small subunit ribosomal RNA
Source: RNAcentral